This 305-nucleotide ribosomal RNA is filed under the name uncultured bacterium. RNAcentral's name for it is "bacterial SSU rRNA". It matches the Rfam family "Bacterial small subunit ribosomal RNA", at positions 333 to 635 of the family's 1533-position model. The record is from RNAcentral.
UUUGCCCUAUGGGGGGCAGCAGUGAGGAAUAUUGGUCAAUGGACGAGAGUCUGAACCAGCCAAGUAGCGUGAAGGAUGACUGCCCUAUGGGUUGUAAACUUCUUUUAUAAAGGAAUAAAACGAGGCACGUGUGCCUUUUUGCAUGUACUUUAUGAAUAAGGAUCGGCUAACUCCGUGCCAGCAGCCGCGGUAAUACGGAGGAUCCGAGCGUUAUCCGGAUUUAUUGGGUUUAAAGGGAGCGUAGGUGGAUUGUUAAGUCAGUUGUGAAAGUUUGCGGCUCAACCGUAAAAUUGCAGUUGAAACUG